This 253-nucleotide ribosomal RNA is filed under the name uncultured bacterium. Its description in RNAcentral is "partial 16S ribosomal RNA". It matches the Rfam family "Bacterial small subunit ribosomal RNA", at positions 524 to 776 of the family's 1533-position model. The record is from RNAcentral.
UACGGGGGGGGCAAGCGUUGUUCGGAAUUACUGGGCGUAAAGGGCGCGUAGGCGGCCAGAUUAGUCAGGCGUGAAAGCCCUGGGCUCAACCUGGGGACUGCGCUUGAUACGGUUUGGCUUGAGGACGGAAGAGGCUCGCGGAAUUCCCAGUGUAGAGGUGAAAUUCGUAGAUAUUGGGAAGAACACCGGUGGCGAAGGCGGCGAGCUGGUCCGUACCUGACGCUGAGGCGCGACAGCGUGGGGAGCGAACAGG